GAUGAACGCUGGCGGCGUGCCUAAUACAUGCAAGUCGAGCGAACAGACGAGGAGCUUGCUCCUCUGACGUUAGCAGCGGACGGGUGAGUGACACGUGGAUAACCUACCUAUAAGACUGGGAUAACUUCGGGAAACCGGAGCUAAUACCGGAUAAUAUAUUGAACCGCAUGGUUCAAUAGUGAAAGACGGUUUUGCUGUCACUUAUAGAUGGAUCCGCGCCGCAUUAGCUAGUUGGUAAGGUAACGGCUUACCAAGGCAACGAUGCGUAGCCGACCUGAGAGGGUGAUCGGCCACACUGGAACUGAGACACGGUCCAGACUCCUACGGGAGGCAGCAGUAGGGAAUCUUCCGCAAUGGGCGAAAGCCUGACGGAGCAACGCCGCGUGAGUGAUGAAGGUCUUCGGAUCGUAAAACUCUGUUAUUAGGGAAGAACAAAUGUGUAAGUAACUAUGCACGUCUUGACGGUACCUAAUCAGAAAGCCACGGCUAACUACGUG
This 497-nucleotide ribosomal RNA is filed under the name uncultured bacterium. Its description in RNAcentral is "partial 16S ribosomal RNA". It matches the Rfam family "Bacterial small subunit ribosomal RNA", at positions 28 to 507 of the family's 1533-position model. The record is from RNAcentral.